AGUACGUUUUCAUUAGUCAAGAACGAAAGUCAGAGGAUCGAAGGCGAUCAGAUACCGCCCUAGUUCUGACCGUAAACUUUGCUACCUGACGAUCCGCCGACGUCGUACCCUUGACUCGGCGGGAAGUCUCCGGGAAACUAAGGUUUCGAGCUCCGGGGGAAGUAUGGUUGCAAAACUGAAACUUAAAGGAAUUGACGGAAGGGCACCACCAGGAGUGGAGCCUGCGGCUUAAUUCGACUCAACACGGGGAAACUUACCAGGACCGGGCGCUGAAAGGAUUGACAGAUUGAGAGCUCUUUCUCGAUUUAGCGGGAGGUGGUGCAUGGCCGUUUCAAGUUGGUGGUGCGAAUUGUCUGGUUGAUUCCGGUAACGAGCGAGACUCUGCCUUGCUAAUUAGUCGGCGAAUCGGCUCCGAUAGACGAGAUCGUUGCCUGAUUCGGGCGAAGCUCUUUCCCGUCUCGGUGCUGUGGUGCGGUAGCGUCGUUGGCUUCGGUGGCUUCGGCUGUCGCGAGUUGGCGGUGUCUGUCGUGUCGCGCCUGAGCGGAAUUCGGAAGGCUUUGUCCAGAUGGCACGUUUUCUACGUCCAAGAGCGUUCGUCGCAAAACACUCUUCUUAGAAGAAUCGGCGGCGUUUAGCCGCACGAAAUUGAGCCAAAACAGGUCUGUGAUGCCCUUAGAUGUUCCGGGCCGCACGCGCGCUACAAUGGUAGGUUCAACGUGCUUCGUCCCCCUCCGAAAGGAGUGGGUAAUCACCGGAACGCCAUUAGACUUCGGUAGGGACUGGGGUUUGAAACUAUCCCCCACGAACGAGGAAUUCCCAGUAGCCGCGAGUCCUCAGCCCGCGUCGAUUGAGUUUCUGCCCUUUGUACACACCGCCCGUCGCUACUACCGAUUGAGUGAUCGAGUGAGGACCUCGGACUGGCGCCCAGGGCCGAUCGACCUUCUCGUUCGCGAGAGGCCGUCGCCCAGGGCUGACGGAAUGACGUCCCAGCUCG
This 994-nucleotide ribosomal RNA is filed under the name Arthropoda sp. MM00204. Its description in RNAcentral is "SSU rRNA". It matches the Rfam family "Eukaryotic small subunit ribosomal RNA", at positions 961 to 1767 of the family's 1831-position model. The record is from RNAcentral. Lineage: Eukaryota; Metazoa; Arthropoda.